UGGGGAAUAUUGCACAAUGGGCGAAAGCCUGAUGCAGCGACGCCGCGUGAGGGAUGACGGCCUUCGGGUUGUAAACCUCUUUCAGUAGGGACGAAGCGCAAGUGACGGUACCUGCAGAAGAAGCACCGGCUAACUACGUGCCAGCAGCCGCGGUAAUACGUAGGGUGCGAGCGUUGUCCGGAAUUACUGGGCGUAAAGAGCUCGUAGGCGGUUUGUCACGUCGUCUGUGAAAUCCUAGGGCUUAACCCUGGACGUGCAGGCGAUACGGGCUGACUUGAGUACUACAGGGGAGACUGGAAUUUCUGGUGUAGCGGAGGAAUGCACAGAUAUCAGGAAGAACACCGAUGGCGAAGGCAGGUCCCUGGGUAGUAACUGACGCUGAGGAGCGAAAGCAUGGGUAGCGAACAGG
RNAcentral lists this ribosomal RNA (409 nucleotides) under bacterium. RNAcentral describes it as "partial 16S ribosomal RNA". It matches the Rfam family "Bacterial small subunit ribosomal RNA", at positions 355 to 776 of the family's 1533-position model. The record is from RNAcentral.